GAUGAACGCUGGCGGCGUGCCUAAUACAUGCAAGUCGAGCGAACAGACGAGGAGCUUGCUCCUCUGACGUUAGCGGCGGACGGGUGAGUAACACGUGGAUAACCUACCUAUAAGACUGGGAUAACUUCGGGAAACCGGAGCUAAUACCGGAUAAUAUAUUGAACCGCAUGGUUCAAUAGUGAAAGACGGUUUUGCUGUCACUUAUAGAUGGAUCCGCGCCGCAUUAGCUAGUUGGUAAGGUAACGGCUUACCAAGGCAACGAUGCGUAGCCGACCUGAGAGGGUGAUCGGCCACACUGGGACUGAGACACGGUCCAGACCCCUACGGGAGGCAGCAGUAGGGAAUCUUCCGCAAUGGGCGAAAGCCUGACGGAGCAACGCCGCGUGAGUGAUGAAGGUCUUCGGAUCGUAAAACUCUGUUAUUAGGGAAGAACAAAUGUGUAAGUAACUAUGCACGUCUUGACGGUACCUAAUCAGAAAGCCACGGCUAACUACGUG
This 497-nucleotide ribosomal RNA is filed under the name uncultured bacterium. Its description in RNAcentral is "partial 16S ribosomal RNA". It matches the Rfam family "Bacterial small subunit ribosomal RNA", at positions 28 to 507 of the family's 1533-position model. The record is from RNAcentral.